Molecule: non-coding RNA, 70 nt
Organism: Danionella cerebrum
Lineage: Eukaryota; Metazoa; Chordata; Actinopteri; Cypriniformes; Danionidae
Source: the annotation of a GenBank genome assembly
UUUCCUGUGGCUCAGUUGGUUGAGCAUUACACUACUAAUGCAAAGCUUGUGGGUUCAAAUCUUAGGGAAC